CCUACGGGGGGCAGCAGUGGGGAAUAUUGCACAAUGGGCGCAAGCCUGAUGCAGCCAUGCCGCGUGUGUGAAGAAGGCCUUCGGGUUGUAAAGCACUUUCAGCGGGGAGGAAGGCGUUAAGGUUAAUAACCUUGGCGAUUGACGUUACCCGCAGAAGAAGCACCGGCUAACUCCGUGCCAGCAGCCGCGGUAAUACGGAGGGUGCAAGCGUUAAUCGGAAUUACUGGGCGUAAAGCGCACGCAGGCGGUCUGUCAAGUCGGAUGUGAAAUCCCCGGGCUCAACCUGGGAACUGCAUUCGAAGCUGGCAGGCUAGAGUCUUGUAGAGGGGGGUAGAAUUCCAGGUGUAGCGGUGAAAUGCGUAGAGAUCUGGAGGAAUACCGGUGGCGAGGGCGGCCCCCUGGACAAAGACUGACGCUCAGGUGCGAAAGCGUGGGGAGCAAACAGGAUUAGAUACCCUAGUAGUC
RNAcentral lists this ribosomal RNA (465 nucleotides) under uncultured Klebsiella sp. Its description in RNAcentral is "bacterial SSU rRNA". It matches the Rfam family "Bacterial small subunit ribosomal RNA", at positions 338 to 795 of the family's 1533-position model. The record is from RNAcentral. Lineage: Bacteria; Pseudomonadati; Pseudomonadota; Gammaproteobacteria; Enterobacterales; Enterobacteriaceae.